RNAcentral lists this unclassified non-coding RNA (332 nucleotides) under soil metagenome. RNAcentral's name for it is "partial contains 5.8S ribosomal RNA, internal transcribed spacer 2, and large subunit ribosomal RNA". The stretch from base 1 to 120 matches the Rfam family "5.8S ribosomal RNA", at positions 35 to 154 of the family's 154-position model. The record is from RNAcentral.
GAUGAAGAACGCAGCAAAAUGCGAUAAGUAAUGUGAAUUGCAGAAUUCAGUGAAUCAUCGAAUCUUUGAACGCACAUUGCGCCCGCCAGUAUUCUGGCGGGCAUGCCUGUUCGAGCGUCAUUUCAACCCUCAAGCACAGCUUGGUGUUGGGACUCGCGUUAAUUCGCUUUCCCCAAAUUGAUUGGCGGUCACGUCGAGCUUCCAUAGCGUAGUAGUAAAACCCUCGUUACUGGUAAUCGUCGCGGCCACGCCGUUAAACCCCAACUUCUGAAUGUUGACCUCGGAUCAGGUAGGAAUACCCGCUGAACUUAAGCAUAUCAAUAAGCGGAGGA